CAGCAGCCGCGGGAACACGGAGGUGGCAGGCGUUGUCCGGAAUUAUUGGGCGUAAAGGGCUCGCAGGCGGUUUCUUAAGACUGAUGUGAAAGCCCCCGGCUCAACCGGGGAGGGUCAUUGGAAACUGGGAAACUUGAGUGCAGAAGAGGAGAGUGGAAUUCCACGUGUAGCGGUGAAAUGCGUAGAGAUGUGGAGGAACACCAGUGGCGAAGGCGACUCUCUGGUCUGUAACUGACGCUGAGGAGCGAAAGCGUGGGGAGCGAACAGGAUUAGAUACCCCAGUAGUCCCUGUCUCUUAUAC
Molecule: ribosomal RNA, 301 nt
Filed under: uncultured bacterium
Lineage: Bacteria
Description: partial 16S ribosomal RNA
Rfam family: Bacterial small subunit ribosomal RNA
Source: RNAcentral